CGAACCUCUGGUGUUCCGGUUGUCACGCCAGUGGCAUUGCCGGGUAGCUAUGUUCGGAAAAGAUAACCGCUGAAAGCAUCUAAGCGGGAAACUUGCCUCAAGAUGAGAUCUCACUGGGAACUUGAUUCCCCUGAAGGGCCGUCGAAGACUACGACGUUGAUAGGCUGGGUGUGUAAGCGUUGUGAGGCGUUGAGCUAACCAGUACUAAUUGCCCGUGAGGCUUGACCAUAUAACACCCAAACA
RNAcentral lists this ribosomal RNA (243 nucleotides) under Pseudomonas aeruginosa. RNAcentral describes it as "partial 23S ribosomal RNA". It matches the Rfam family "Bacterial large subunit ribosomal RNA", at positions 2702 to 2925 of the family's 2925-position model. Lineage: Bacteria; Pseudomonadati; Pseudomonadota; Gammaproteobacteria; Pseudomonadales; Pseudomonadaceae. The record is from RNAcentral.